Molecule: long non-coding RNA, 2823 nt
Organism: Macadamia integrifolia
Lineage: Eukaryota; Viridiplantae; Streptophyta; Magnoliopsida; Proteales; Proteaceae
Exons: 5
Source: RefSeq, a predicted model, not a curated record
CCCCCACCACCCCAUCUUGCUUGUUGUGUAUGUUCUAUGCCCUUUCUUGUGCCGCUUUUGUAUCUAGCUGCUUAAUCAUUACGCUUGUGGAGUCUUGAGAUAACUAUUCCUUUACAUUGCACCAUCUUCACUUUGCUUUGCUUGUUUGAUUCGGCGUAUCAUUGGUCGCAAGUGCAUAUAUAUUCUAUCUAUUCGAGUAGAACUUACAUGAUGUAUUUUGAUUAAGCCUUUGAAAUGUUUACGUAUUCUAUGCUUGUGUAUGCAUUGUGUGACAUCUUUUUCUGGUUUCUUGUCGGCUAUGCAUCAUGUCAUGUGCUCUACUUUUAAUUGAUGAGAUUCCCUCUUUAAUGCAUUAGGUGCCCUUUUAAUAUUAUUGUAUAUACAUAAUUUAUAUAUGUAUAUAUAUAUAUAUAUAUUGGAGGGUGGACCUUGGUGCAACAAUAAUGUUGCUCUACUAUGAACAAGUGAUCAUGGGUUCUAGUCAGGAAAUAGCCUCUGCGAAGCGGGGGUAAGGCUGCGUACAUUAUGACCCUUCCCAGACCUCGCAGUGGUGGGAGCUUCAUGCACUGGGUACUCAUGUUAGUUUUCCCUCAUUUUUAACUUCUCCCUAUUGUAAAAUGUUCCAAUUUAUUGCUGGUGAUGGUAAUGUUAAUUUACGAGCUUCUUCCUAUGGUAUAGUGCAAAAUCUUGAGUGGAGCGUGUUUUCAUGGUACUAUUUUUUUAUUUUUUUGGUUGUCUUUUCAUGCAUGUUGCUUUCUGUUUGUUUUUGGGCCCGUAUUUAUGUAUUUAUUCAAUCUAGGAGUGUGCACUAGUCGUGGCACCAGUAGCAUUGCGCUUGGUAGAAAUUGCUUUAAGUUUUGUUAUCGAGAAAGUUUUUCUUCAAUAUUGUUUCAUCUUUGCUGCUACAUAAUUUUUUUAUCAUUCCCCCCUUAUGAGUAAAGAGCAUACGGUACUAUUAUUUUUAUUUGUUUAGUUCCUAGGAUACAUUGAUAGAGAUGAACUUGUUUUGAUAUAUUUUUAUCAUAUUCUGUUGGAUUCUUCUACUUCAGUGAGAUUUGAGGUUAUUAUCAAGUCUAGGCAUAUCAUAUGAAUCUGGAUGCUGAUAACUAUAUUUGUUGAACCCCUGGAACCCCAUUUGGCUUAUAAGUUCUGAUUAAAAUUUUAGGAUUAGAAGCUGCUAUAAAUGCCCUUGAAUUUCCUUGUCCCAGGAGUUGAUUUGCUGGGCCAGAUUGUCUGGUCAGAUUUACUAUCCUUAGAAAUUGGAAUCUGCACCUAGCAGAAUACUUUCAAGUUAUGAGGUUAUUUCAGUUGGUUUAUAUGGAAACUGUGAUUCACUUUAUUGUCUUAUUCUUCAGUAUUCCUCUAUGCAUUGUGUAAUUGGAUCUUGAUUUUUGGUUCAUUGAACUUUGGAAUUUAUUUAUCGUCUUAUUCUUCAGUAUUCCUCUAUUCGUUGUGUAAUUGGAUCUUGAUUUUUGGUUCAUUGAACUUUCGAAGUUAUUUUGCAAAGGAUGCUAGUACAAAACCAGAAGCUAUUUAGGCCUUUGGCCUUUAUCCAUUAUGAUUAGGAAUUUGGAUCUGAGAUCUUUACAUAUUAGCUUUCGUGCACGUAGUACUCUUUUUUCCCCUUGAGUUAUUCCACCUGGAUCCAAGGUGGUUACAUAUUUCUGCCCUUCUGUUUAAGUUGGGUCCUUCUUGUUUUAUUUUUUGAGAUAAAGCCUUGUUACUUUAUCAUACUCAGAUUGGAGAAAAUCCCCAUCCAAAGAAAGACGAUGUAGUGAAUAAGAUCUAUGUAAUAUAGAAAACAAAUAGCAUUUUUAUUUCCCUUUAUAUUUGUUACCUGGUUUGACAUAAAUUUAAUAUUGCAGAAGAUCGUAAGAAAUGGCUGGAUACAAUGGAACGUACUCAUCGUUAUCAUUUCCUGAGCAUAUAAUUCCUGUCAACCGUUAUCGGUUUCUAAUGACUGGAAGAAGCGACAUGGAGUACUAAUUGCCCUAGGUCUGAUUUCCUGGCGAUGCCAAAAGCAUAAGGAGCACGGGGAUGAAUUGUGCCCCUCUCGUUUGGAGAUGUUCAAGGUGACUUAUACAAAGAAAGAUGCAUCUUUGCAGACCCUAUUGUAGGGGAGAAGAUUGCUCUAAUGAAUGACAAACUUAAUAAACAACCUGAAGAAAGACGUGGGGAUAGUGGUGUGCAAGAUAAAAUCUUCAGGGAAAUUGUAGUUCCCAUGGUCGAGUGCGCAUGUACGGAGUUGGAUCAUCUGAAACAAGUGCAUGGGAUGGUCACACAAUGCGCUGCGUCAUAUUCCCGAGAGAAUGCAGAGCUGCAGACUGAGGCUGUGACAUUGGAGGAAAAUAUCAAUGAACAAAAAGCAGAGAUCGGUGGAUUGAGGGCUAUUGUCAUUGAACAAAAGGAAUUGAUCUCAGAAAACUAGAGCAGCUCUACUGUAUUCCAAUACAGAGGCUGUCUGGCUAGGUUUUUUUUGCUGAGUUGUGCCGUCUUUCUGGCAACACCGCAUUUUGAUGACAGUGGUGAGGCCAUGAUGAUUACUGGGCAGCUUCUACAUAGAGAAAAAAGCCUGCAGAGUUGUUUAUCUGAGUGCUGAUGCUGAUAUAGGAAUGUACUCUUCACUUUGUAUUAGUUUAUCUUUAUUUAUGUCUAUCAUAUUUAAAAAAAUAUGAGGGAAGGGAAUCCAGUACUGUUUAGUGGGGCAUGUACACAUCAUCUCAUCAUAUUGAUUUUCUAUCAAAUUAGUUUAACCACAUGUCAAGUGUUUGGGGAAUUAAUUCAACAGCUCAAUUUUUUUAAAAAUAAAUUUGGACUGAUCAA